This 469-nucleotide ribosomal RNA is filed under the name uncultured bacterium. Its description in RNAcentral is "partial 16S ribosomal RNA". It matches the Rfam family "Bacterial small subunit ribosomal RNA", at positions 28 to 507 of the family's 1533-position model. The record is from RNAcentral.
GACGAACGCUGGCGGCGUGCUUAACACAUGCAAGUCGAACGGAAAGGCCCUGCUUGCGGGGUGCUCGAGUGGCGAACGGGUGAGUAACACGUGGGUGAUCUGCCCCUUACUUUGGGAUAAGCCUGGGAAACUGGGUCUAAUACUGGAUAGGACCAUGCUGUAGGUGGUGUGGUGGAAAGAUUAGUUUCGGUAAGGGAUGAGCUCGCGGCCUAUCAGCUUGUUGGUGGGGUAAUGGCCUACCAAGGCGUCGACGGGUAGCCGGCCUGAGAGGGUGGACGGCCACAUUGGGACUGGGAUACGGCCCAGACUCCUACGGGAGGCAGCAGUGGGGAAUAUUGCACAAUGGGCGCAAGCCUGAUGCAGCGACGCCGCGUGGGGGAUGACGGCCUUCGGGUUGUAAACUCCUUUCAGCCAUGACGAAGCCCUUGUGGUGACGGUAGUGGGAGAAGAAGCACCGGCUAACUACGUG